UACGAGGGGGGCAAGCGUUGUUCGGAAUUAUUGGGCGUAAAGGGUGCGUAGGCGGUUUGACAAGUCUUAUGUGAAAUCUAUGGGCUCAACCCAUAGUCUGCAUGGGAAACUGUCGGGCUUGGGUAUGGGAGAGGUGAGUGGAAUUUCCGGUGUAGCGGUGAAAUGCGUAGAUAUCGGAAGGAACACCUGUGGCGAAAGCGGCUCACUGGACCAUAACUGACGCUGAUGCACGAAAGCCAGGGGAGCAAACGGG
RNAcentral lists this ribosomal RNA (253 nucleotides) under uncultured bacterium. Its description in RNAcentral is "partial 16S ribosomal RNA". It matches the Rfam family "Bacterial small subunit ribosomal RNA", at positions 524 to 776 of the family's 1533-position model. The record is from RNAcentral.